This 486-nucleotide ribosomal RNA is filed under the name uncultured bacterium. RNAcentral's name for it is "partial 16S ribosomal RNA". It matches the Rfam family "Bacterial small subunit ribosomal RNA", at positions 30 to 507 of the family's 1533-position model. The record is from RNAcentral.
AUUGAACGCUGGCGGCAUGCCUUACACAUGCAAGUCGAACGGCAGCACGGGUGCUUGCACCUGGUGGCGAGUGGCGAACGGGUGAGUAAUACAUCGGAACAUGUCCUGUAGUGGGGGAUAGCCCGGCGAAAGCCGGAUUAAUACCGCAUACGAUCUACGGAUGAAAGCGGGGGACCUUCGGGCCUCGCGCGAUUGGGUUGGGCGAUGGCUGAUUAGCUAGUUGGUGGGGUAAAGGCCUACCAAGGCGACGAUCAGUAGCUGGUCUGAGAGGACGACCAGCCACACUGGGACUGAGACACGGCCCAGACUCCUACGGGAGGCAGCAGUGGGGAAUUUUGGACAAUGGGCGAAAGCCUGAUCCAGCAAUGCCGCGUGUGUGAAGAAGGCCUUCGGGUUGUAAAGCACUUUUGUCCGGAAAGAAAUCCUUGGCCCUAAUACGGUCGGGGGAUGACGGUACCGGAAGAAUAAGCACCGGCUAACUACGUG